RNAcentral lists this ribosomal RNA (459 nucleotides) under uncultured bacterium. Its description in RNAcentral is "partial 16S ribosomal RNA". It matches the Rfam family "Bacterial small subunit ribosomal RNA", at positions 339 to 795 of the family's 1533-position model. The record is from RNAcentral.
CUACGGGAUGCACCAGUAAGGAAUAUUGCGCAAUGGAGGCAACUCUGACGCAGCCAUGCCGCGUGCAGGAAGAAGGCCUUAUGGGUCGUAAACUGCUUUUAUUUAGGAAUAAACCCCCGAACGUGUUCGGGGCUGAAGGUACUAAACGAAUAAGCACCGGCUAACUCCGUGCCAGCAGCCGCGGUAAUACGGAGGGUACAAGCGUUAUCCGGAUUUAUUGGGUUUAAAGGGUGCGCAGGCGGGCUAUUAAGUCAGUGGUGAAAUCCCGGGGCUCAACUCCGGAACUGCCAUUGAUACUGAUAGUCUUGAGUUUGGUUGAAGUGGGCGGAAUGUAGCAUGUAGCGGUGAAAUGCAUAGAUAUGCUACAGAACACCAAUCGCGAAGGCAGCUCACUAAGCCAAAACUGACGCUCAUGCACGAAAGCGUGGGGAUCAAACAGGAUUAGAUACCCGCGUAGUC